GUGCUUGCUAUUUUGGGUUCGA
RNAcentral lists this non-coding RNA (22 nucleotides) under Rattus norvegicus (Norway rat). The record is from RNAcentral. Lineage: Eukaryota; Metazoa; Chordata; Mammalia; Rodentia; Muridae.